Molecule: ribosomal RNA, 393 nt
Filed under: uncultured bacterium
Lineage: Bacteria
Description: partial 16S ribosomal RNA
Rfam family: Bacterial small subunit ribosomal RNA
Source: RNAcentral
CCUACGGGUGGCAGCAGUGAGGAAUAUUGGUCAAUGGUCGGGAGACUGAACCAGCCAAGCCGCGUGAGGGAUGAAGGUACAGAGUAUCGUAAACCUCUUUUGUCAGGGGACAAAGGCGGGGACGCGUCCCCGGAUGAGUGUACCUUAAGAAAAAGCAUCGGCUAACUCCGUGCCAGCAGCCGCGGUAAUACGGAAGGUUCGGGCGUUAUCCGGAUUUAUUGGGUUUAAAGGGAGCGUAGGCCGUGUGCCAAGCGUGCUGUGAAAUGUCCGGGCUCAACCCGGGACUUGCCGCGCGAACUGGCGUGCUAGAGUCGGCGGAAAGCAGGCGGAAUGCGUGGUGUAGCGGUGAAAUGCUUAGAUAUGACGAAGAACCCCGAUUGCGAAGGCAGCUUG